UAACACAUGCAAGUCGAGCGCACCUUCGGGUGAGCGGCGGACGGGUUAGUAACGCGUGGGAACGUACCCUUUUCUACGGAAUAGCCUUUGGAAACGAAGAGUAAUACCGUAUACGCCCUUUGGGGGAAAGAUUUAUCGGAGAAGGAUCGGCCCGCGUUAGAUUAGAUAGUUGGUGGGGUAACGGCCUACCAAGUCUACGAUCUAUAGCUGGUUUUAGAGGAUGAUCAGCAACACUGGGACUGAGACACGGCCCAGACUCCUACGGGAGGCAGCAGUGGGGAAUCUUAGACAAUGGGCGCAAGCCUGAUCUAGCCAUGCCGCGUGAGUGAUGAAGGCCUUAGGGUCGUAAAGCUCUUUCGCCUGUGAUGAUAAUGACAGUAGCAGGUAAAGAAACCCCGGCUAACUCCGUGCCAGCAGCCGCGGUAAUACGGAGGGGGUUAGCGUUGUUCGGAAUUACUGGGCGUAAAGCGCACGUAGGCGGAUUGGAAAGUUGGGGGUGAAAUCCCGGGGCUCAACCCCGGAACUGCCUCCAAAACUAUCAGUCUAGAGUUCGAGAGAGGUGAGUGGAAUUCCAAGUGUAGAGGUGAAAUUCGUAGAUAUUUGGAGGAACACCAGUGG
This 618-nucleotide ribosomal RNA is filed under the name uncultured Alphaproteobacteria bacterium. RNAcentral describes it as "bacterial SSU rRNA". It matches the Rfam family "Bacterial small subunit ribosomal RNA", at positions 49 to 715 of the family's 1533-position model. The record is from RNAcentral. Lineage: Bacteria; Pseudomonadati; Pseudomonadota; Alphaproteobacteria.